AAAACUAUGGAAUAGUUAAAUAAAAUCUCCAAUCAGGGUUUCCAAUAAGAAAAUAAACACACUAAUAAUCAUGGUUUAUUACAUAUUUUUAUACAAGCACUUUGGUUUUGAUUUUCUUUAAUAUUGUUGAUUGUUUCUUAAUAAAAGUUUCAGUAAACAUACAGAAACAUCUAAAAAUCAUUAACCAAUCUACUUAUUUUGACAUUUAAUAUCAAUUUGGAAUAGCUUACAUCAUUCAUUCAAAAAUUAACAUCUUCAGAUCUCUCUCCCACAUUUUCACUUAGUUUCCAUUUCUUAACAUUUGUUCAUUUUUAAUAGUUAUCAGCCAAAACAUUAUUUGUUAACGUCUCCAAUGUAUUCUGAAAAUUGAUUAACCACAGAUCAUUUCAUACCUCCCUUCUUUUAUCAAAAAUGUUGUACCUCCUGAAGUUGGACAUUCUCCUAACUUUUCUUUAAUUUUUAAGUACUGAUGUUUGCACCAUUUAAUUACAAAUAUCAUUUCUUGUUUUAGAAAUCUUUGCUCUUCAUUACAUCUGGACAUCUGCUUUGAAAGCUUAUUGAACACUGCCUACCUUUAUGAAAAUGGCUCAGUUUGGGUAAACUAAGAAAUUUGUGUUAUAAUGAUGAAUGGACUUGUUAAUUUUUAUCUGCUGAAAGUAUUUUACAGGCAUCACAGGUUUUGUUAAUUUUUUUAAUUUUACUAAGUUAUGUUUCUCUCUUAUUUCUGACCCCCUCGGUUUUGUUAUUCAUUGUUAUCUCUUUUGUAAUCAGUGAAAAAAUAUCCUAACAGGACCACACACACACAACCUUUCUAUUCUUUCCCCAUCAAACAAAUUAUAAAAAAAAAAUAUCAAAUAACCUCUUUUGUCAUUAGCAUCUUGCAUAAUUUAGGCUGUCUGACCUUUAAAGCUUCACAAAAUCCUUUUCAGACACGUGGCAUUCAAGCAAUAAUCCAUUUAGCCAACGGAGAAGGUCCAUAUGAAAUGCCAAAUGUGGUGUUUUUGGUGAGGCAGCUCUCAACAGUUUAAAAGAAAAUUAUAUAUUUGUCUUUUCUUAAAUAGUGAAAAUGGGUCAUCUCUUUUGUAAUCAGUGAAAAAAUAUUCAAACAGGACCACACACACAACCUUUCCAUUCCUUCCCAAUCAA
This 1146-nucleotide long non-coding RNA is filed under the name Mytilus galloprovincialis (Mediterranean mussel). Lineage: Eukaryota; Metazoa; Mollusca; Bivalvia; Mytilida; Mytilidae. The record is from RNAcentral.